RNAcentral lists this small nuclear RNA (19 nucleotides) under Arabidopsis thaliana (thale cress). RNAcentral's name for it is "snRNA_15873". The record is from RNAcentral. Lineage: Eukaryota; Viridiplantae; Streptophyta; Magnoliopsida; Brassicales; Brassicaceae.
GAGCGGCCGUCGGUGCAGA